This 741-nucleotide ribosomal RNA is filed under the name uncultured bacterium. Its description in RNAcentral is "bacterial SSU rRNA". It matches the Rfam family "Bacterial small subunit ribosomal RNA", at positions 8 to 796 of the family's 1533-position model. The record is from RNAcentral.
AGAGUUUGAUCCUGGCUCAGAUUGAACGCUGGCGGCGUGGCUAAAACAUGCAAGUCCGGGGCUCAGCAAUGAGCACCGGCGGAAGGGUGAGGAAUCCAUUCGAACGUGCCCCAAGGUGGGGGAUAGGCGUGGGAAACUGCGCGUAAUACCCCAUGUGCUCUACGGAGGAAAGCUUCGGCGCCUCGGGAGCGGCGAAUGUCCUAUCAGGUAGUUGGCGGGGUAAUGGCCCACCAAGCCGAAGACGGGUAGCAGGUGUGAGAGCACGGCCUGCCACAUCGGGACUGAGACACUGCCCGGACUCCUACGGGAGGCUGCAGUAACGAAUAUUCCGCAAUGCGCGAAAGCGUGACGGAGCGACGCCGCGUGCAGGAUGAAGCGGCUUUGCCGUGUAAACUGCUGUCAGGAGCUACUAAAACUGAAGUGCUCCAGAGGAAGGGCCGGCUAAUCCUGUGCCAGCAGCCGCGGUAAUACAGGAGGCCCGAGCGUUAAUCGGAAUCACUGGGCUUAAAGGGUGCGUAGGCGGGCCCGCAAGUGUGUCGUGAAAUCCCCCGGCUCAACCGGGGAACUGCGGCGCAGACUGCGGGUCUUGAGGAAGCUAGGGGCUGCCGGAACGCUCGGUGGAGCGGUGAAAUGCGUUGAGAUCGAGCGGAACGCCGAUGGUGAAGACAGGCAGCUGGGGCUUUCCUGACGCUGAGGCACGAAAGCGUGGGGAUCAAACAGGAUUAGAUACCCUGGUAGUCC